Molecule: ribosomal RNA, 586 nt
Filed under: uncultured bacterium
Lineage: Bacteria
Description: partial 16S ribosomal RNA
Rfam family: Bacterial small subunit ribosomal RNA
Source: RNAcentral
UGGGGAAUUUUGGACAAUGGGCGAAAGCCUGAUCCAGCAAUGCCGCGUGUGUGAAGAAGGCCUUCGGGUUGUAAAGCACUUUUGUCCGGAAAGAAAUCCUUGGCUCUAAUACAGUCGGGGGAUGACGGUACCGGAAGAAUAAGCACCGGCUAACUACGUGCCAGCAGCCGCGGUAAUACGUAGGGUGCAAGCGUUAAUCGGAAUUACUGGGCGCAAAGCGUGCGCAGGCGGUUUGCUAAGACCGAUGUGAAAUCCCCGGGCUCAACCUGGGAACUGCAUUGGUGACUGGCAGGCUAGAGUAUGGCAGAGGGGGGUAGAAUUCCACGUGUAGCAGUGAAAUGCGUAGAGAUGUGGAGGAAUACCGAUGGCGAAGGCAGCCCCCUGGGCCAAUACUGACGCUCAUGCACGAAAGCGUGGGGAGCAAAACAGGAUUAGAUACCCUGGUAGUCCACGCCCUAAACGAUGUCAACUAGUUGUUGGGGAUUCAUUUCCUUAGUAACGUAGCUAACGCGUGAAGUUGACCGCCUGGGGAGUACGGUCGCAAGAUUAAAACUCAAAUGAAUUGACGGGGUCAUAGCUGUUUCCU